RNAcentral lists this ribosomal RNA (478 nucleotides) under uncultured organism. RNAcentral's name for it is "partial 16S ribosomal RNA". It matches the Rfam family "Bacterial small subunit ribosomal RNA", at positions 331 to 800 of the family's 1533-position model. The record is from RNAcentral.
GUACACUCCUACGGGAGGCAGCAGUGGGGAAUUUUGGACAAUGGGCGAAAGCCUGAUCCAGCAAUGCCGCGUGAGUGAAGAAGGCCUUCGGGUUGUAAAGCUCUUUUGUCAGGGAAGAAACGGUGAGAGCUAAUAUCUCUUGCUAAUGACGGUACCUGAAGAAUAAGCACCGGCUAACUACGUGCCAGCAGCCGCGGUAAUACGUAGGGUGCAAGCGUUAAUCGGAAUUACUGGGCGUAAAGCGUGCGCAGGCGGUUUUGUAAGUCUGAUGUGAAAUCCCCGGGCUCAACCUGGGAAUUGCAUUGGAGACUGCAAGGCUAGAAUCUGGCAGAGGGGGGUAGAAUUCCACGUGUAGCAGUGAAAUGCGUAGAUAUGUGGAGGAACACCGAUGGCGAAGGCAGCCCCCUGGGUCAAGAUUGACGCUCAUGCACGAAAGCGUGGGGAGCAAACAGGAUUAGAAACCCCGGUAGUCCCAUGA